UCUCUGGAAAGUGGAUCUCCCCAGUCUCUGAUGCCCCGUAACAUCCCCUUCAGUUACUGCCCUGAUGCCUGGUUGGAAGGACUGGUGGGUGUCCUCACUGUGUGAAUGAAGACCCUGUCCCGUGCCUCUUCUCCCCCGGCAUUUGGAAGUGUGGUUGACCCAUUGGCUGCAAUUCUUCACCUCGCGGUGUCUGUGGCUUUUGCUUGUGACUUUUCCGUUUCUCCCCCACAGGAUGUUAGCAGGUUAUGCAGGAAGGGGCUUGAGAUCAACUUGAAAGGUUGGGUUUGUCCUCCGGCGCUUCUGCUAUUACCAUGAGAUGUGUUUAUCCUGUGAGCUGCUGCCCCUUCAGCCUGGACCCCAGCGUGGACACACAAGGCCCAAUCUUCAGCCCAACUCAUCAAGAGGAGCCAAGGCCGGCUGGACCCGCAGUUUGAAGCGGCCUUACCCAGACAAGCCCAGCCCCGAUCAAUUGAUUCACAUUCAAUAUUCUGACCCCCGGGCAUGAGAAUAAAUGCUUAUUGUUGUGGGUCACCGGU
Non-coding RNA from Leptonychotes weddellii (Weddell seal), 536 nucleotides. The record is from RefSeq and is a predicted model, not a curated record. NCBI's taxonomy places the organism in Eukaryota, Metazoa, Chordata, Mammalia, Carnivora, Phocidae.